GUGGGGAAUAUUGGACAAUGGGGGGAACCCUGAUCCAGCCAUGCCGCGUGUGUGAAGAAGGCCUUUUGGUUGUAAAGCACUUUAAGCGAGGAGGAGGCUACCGAGAUUAAUACUCUUGGAUAGUGGACAUUACUCGCAGAAUAAGCACCGGCUAACUCUGUGCCAGCAGCCGCGGUAAUACAGAGGGUGCAAGCGUUAAUCGGAUUUACUGGGCGUAAAGCGCGCGUAGGUGGCCAAUUAAGUCAAAUGUGAAAUCCCCGAGCUUAACUUGGGAAUUGCAUUCGAUACUGGUUGGCUAGAGUAUGGGAGAGGAUGGUAGAAUUCCAGGUGUAGCGGUGAAAUGCGUAGAGAUCUGGAGGAAUACCGAUGGCGAAGGCAGCCAUCUGGCCUAAUACUGACACUGAGGUGCGAAAGCAUGGGGAGCAAACAGGAUUAGAAACCCGAGUAGUCC
Molecule: ribosomal RNA, 451 nt
Filed under: uncultured bacterium
Lineage: Bacteria
Description: partial 16S ribosomal RNA
Rfam family: Bacterial small subunit ribosomal RNA
Source: RNAcentral